CGUUGCGGUUCUAUUUUGUUGGUUUCUAGGACCGCCGUAAUGAUUAAUAGGGACAGUCGGGGGCGUCAGUAUUCAAUCGUCAGAGGUGAAAUUCUUGGAUCGAUUGAAGACUAACUACUGCGAAAGCAUUCGCCAAGGAUGUUUUCAUUAAUCAGGAACGAAAGUUAGGGGAUCGAAAACGAUCAGAUACCGUUGUAGUCUUAACCAUAAACUAUGCCGACUAGGGAUCGGGCGAUGUUAUUUCUUGACUCGCUCGGCACCUUACACGAAAGUAAAGUUUUUGGGUUCUGGGGGGAGUAUGGUCGCAAGGCUGAAACUUAAAGAAAUUGACGGAAGGGCACCACAAGGGGUGGAGCCUGCGGCUUAAUUUGACUCAACACGGGGAAACUC
RNAcentral lists this ribosomal RNA (390 nucleotides) under fungal sp. RNAcentral describes it as "SSU rRNA". It matches the Rfam family "Eukaryotic small subunit ribosomal RNA", at positions 826 to 1216 of the family's 1831-position model. The record is from RNAcentral. Lineage: Eukaryota; Fungi.